Molecule: ribosomal RNA, 497 nt
Filed under: uncultured bacterium
Lineage: Bacteria
Description: partial 16S ribosomal RNA
Rfam family: Bacterial small subunit ribosomal RNA
Source: RNAcentral
GAUGAACGCUGGCGGCGUGCCUAAUACAUGCAAGACGAGCGAACAGAUGAGGAGCUUGCUCCUCUGACGUUAGCGGCGGACGGGUGAGUAACACGUGGAUAACCUACCUAUAAGACUGGGAUAACUUCGGGAAACCGGAGCUAAUACCGGAUAAUAUAUUGAACCGCAUGGUUCAAUAGUGAAAGACGGUUUUGCUGUCACUUAUAGAUGGAUCCGCGCCGCAUUAGCUAGUUGGUAAGGUAACGGCUUACCAAGGCAACGAUGCGUAGCCGACCUGAGAGGGUGAUCGGCCACACUGGAACUGAGACACGGUCCAGACUCCUAAGGGAGGCAGCAGUAGGGAAUCUUCCGCAAUGGGCGAAAGCCUGACGGAGCAACGCCGCGUGAGUGAUGAAGGUCUUCGGAUCGUAAAACUCUGUUAUUAGGGAAGAACAAAUGUGUAAGUAACUAUGCACGUCUUGACGGUACCUAAUCAGAAAGCCACGGCUAACUACGUG